Molecule: long non-coding RNA, 2483 nt
Filed under: Homo sapiens (human)
Lineage: Eukaryota; Metazoa; Chordata; Mammalia; Primates; Hominidae
Description: HSALNT0361459
Source: RNAcentral
UCCCAAGGGCUAUGCAUAUUGCCUGACUUCAGUUUUGUGAAAACAAAAGCUGUAUCUUUAAGAAAUUCAACUCAAACAUCAGCUUUUGAAACCAAGGUUCAGCAAACAAGAGCCAAUAAAAAUGCUGUAACUUGAAACCAACCCACACAGCACAAAAAGAAAGGAGAGAGGUCUGCCCGGGUCGCCCUCAACACACCCUUCUAACUUGGUUCUAGAACAGCAGUGCCCAGUUUGCAAGACAAGAAGCUAAUUGACUCGAAUGUCUGCUGCAUAAGCUAUAAAAUAAGUACAUAAAGAACAAUAUGAACAUACAGCGCCAUCAGUUACAUAAAAAGGCCUGACUGUCCGACGCCACACUGUGCACCGAACAAGCACAGCAAUUGUUUCAGCGGGCUGCACGGAGGAAGAAUGAAUAAUUAGCGUCCUUGUGAAUCAAGUCUCCACCAGGAAGAGAGCUCCAUCCUGCAGCAGUGGCACGGCAGCACCCUCAGCCCGCCAGAGUCAAGCUGGGGUUUUUAAACGUCUUUAUUGACAAUCAGGAUGCAGGCAAACAUAUUCUUCAGCCAAGUAAACCGACAACUAGCUCCACUGUGGUCACUGCUCAUUGGCUGGAACACCCGCUUCUUGUCUAAAGUCUCACCAACUGCUACUUUCCAUUACCAGGAAAUGUCAUUUUCCCUCACUUGUUUAUUUUUGCAUUGGCUAGGAAUACAACAACUUCUGCUAAAGGUGGAGGGGCUGUGACAAAAGCAUCCAUUUGAGCUGUCCUGGCACAACAGGCACAACACAAGAAGUCCCUAAACGUUUCUUUCCAGAGAGUAUGAGUAGAGGGAAGCAAGGAAUGAAGUGAAGGAUUUGAUGGAGUUAAGUAACUGACCCAAGGUUUGCAAAACCGGUAAGAGGUGAACCAUGAUUUGAACCCAAACAGGUUGAUUUCAAAUCCCAUGCUAAUUUAUCACACCGUGAUUGUUAUAUUACUCUCACUUAUGUCUAUUUCCCACUCUGCUGUUCAUUUCUGGAAAAUUACUUAGUCACACUGUUUUAUUUGCAGGACAAAAACCACUAUGGAUUCCCCACUAUGGAGGACCCAGAGUUGACAGGGAAAGUGUAAUCCAAGGUACAAAGUCCCACAACUUUAUGUACUUCUCCAAGGAACUAUUUUCUCCUGAAAGGUUUGGUGAGUUCGAAGAUGUGACAGAGACCUACAAGAGCCCAGAAAGUGGUAAUAUUUUUGAGUGGUAAGUAAAAAUAUGUUCAACCUAACUAGGAACAAGAGAAUAUAGUUAAAUAAUGUGCUCACUUUUCACCCAUUUUCACCCACUGAAUGAGCUAGCAAACCUUCUCGAAAAGUAAUUUGACAUGCUGUGCUUCCAGUUUAAUAUCUAAGAACUCUUUGCCUAACUCAAGGUCAUGAAGACUUUUUAUUAUGUUGUGCUAAAAGAUUUAGCUUAACCUUCUACACUUUAGCCUAGGAUCCAUUUUGAGUUAAAUUCUAUGUACCGUGUGCGGUAAGAAUUUAAAUUUACCUUUUUUGCAUGUGGAUAUCCAAUUGUCCUAGCACUAUUCAUUGAAAAGACUAUUGAAUUGAAUUGCUUUUGAAUUGCUUUGGUACCUCUGUAGAGAAAUCAAUUGACAAUAAUGUAAUGGUUUAUUUCUAGACUCUCAAUUCUGUACCAUUAUCUAUGCUUACACCACUGUCUAUCCUUACACCAGUAACACACUGAUUUGAAUAGUAUAGCUUUGUAGUAAGUUUUGAAACUAAGAAAUAUAAGACCCCUAAUCUUUUUUUCUUCCCUUUCCGAAUUGUUUUGUUUAUUCUAGGUCAUCUACAUUUCUAUACUGUUAGAAACAGCUUGACAAUUUUUUUUAAAAAGAUGCAUACUAAAAUUGUAUAAGGAUUGCACUGAAUCUACAAAUCAUUUUAGGAAGAUUUAACAAUAUUGAGUCUUCCAAUCCAUGAACAUGGGAUAACUCUCAUUUAGCAAUAAACUAGUCUUGCACUGAUUUUAUUAAAUUUAUUCCUCAGAAUUGUGUUCAUAAUGUGGGUUUCAGAUUGCUUGGUGCUAGUAUGUAAAAAUACAAUUGAUUUUUGUAUACUAAUCUUUUAUCCUGUAAGGUUGCUGAACUCAUUAGUCGGUUCGUACUUUGGGGGAAUCGGGAUUGGGCAUGUGUUCCUUUAGGUUUUCUAGUACAGGCUCAAUUCAUCUGAAAAUAAAGAGAGUUUUCUUUCUUUCUUCCCAAUCCGGAUGCCUUUGAUUUCUGAACCUGCAGUACAAUUUUAAAUAUAAGUAGCAAAAGUGGACAUCUCUGCCUGGCUUCAGAUCUUAACAGGAAGCCACAUUAAUAAAGUGCAUGAAGAAGCAGUCCACCCAAGCUAUUAUCUUUCUUGAAGACUUUACGAAACAGAACUGGCUAAAUAUUUUCUUAUACUGAUGAACCAUGAUCACAUACAAAUAAAAAACGUACUUAGAAACUUUAAAAAA